GACGAACGCUGGCGGCGUGCUUAACACAUGCAAGUCGAACGGAAAGGCCCUGCUUGCAGGGUGCUCGAGUGGCGAACGGGUGAGUAACACGUGGGUGAUCUGCCCCUUACUUUGGGAUAAGCCUGGGAAACUGGGUCUAAUACUGGAUAGGACCAUGCUGUAGGUGGUGUGGUGGAAAGAUUAGUUUCGGUAAGGGAUGAGCUCGCGGCCUAUCAGCUUGUUGGUGGGGUAAUGGCCUACCAAGGCGUCGACGGGUAGCCGGCCUGAGAGGGUGGACGGCAACAUUGGGACUGAGACACGGCCCAGACGCCUACGGGAGGCAGCAGUGGGGAAUAUUGCACAAUGGGCGCAAGCCGGAUGCAGCGACGCCGCGUGGGGGAUGACGGCCUUCGGGUUGUAAACUCCUUUCAGCCAUGACGAAGCCCUUGUGGUGACGGUAGUGGUAGAAGAAGCACCGGCUAACUACGUG
RNAcentral lists this ribosomal RNA (469 nucleotides) under uncultured bacterium. RNAcentral's name for it is "partial 16S ribosomal RNA". It matches the Rfam family "Bacterial small subunit ribosomal RNA", at positions 28 to 507 of the family's 1533-position model. The record is from RNAcentral.